Molecule: ribosomal RNA, 417 nt
Filed under: uncultured eukaryote
Lineage: Eukaryota
Description: bacterial SSU rRNA
Rfam family: Eukaryotic small subunit ribosomal RNA
Source: RNAcentral
CAAUAGCGUAUAUUAAAGUUGUUGCAGUUAAAAAGCUCGUAGUUGGAUUUCGGAGUGGGCCAGUUGGUCCGCCGCAAGGUGUGUUACUGACUGGUUUGCUCUUCUUCGCAAAGACUGCGUGUGCCCUUAAAUGAGUGUGCGUAGGAUUUACGACGUUUACUUUGAAAAAAUUAGAGUGUUCAAAGCAGGCCUAUGCUCUGAAUAGGUUAGCAUGGAAUAAUAGAAUAGGACUUUGGUUCUAUUUUGUUGGUUUCUAGGACCGAAGUAAUGAUUAAUAGGGACAGUUGGGGGCAUUUUUAUUCCAUUGUCAGAGGUGAAAUUCUUGGAUUAACGGAAGAAAAAUCUACUGCGAAAGCAUCUGCCAAGGAUGUUUUCAUUGAUCAAGAACGAAAGUUAGGGGAUCGAAGAUGAUCAGAU